Molecule: ribosomal RNA, 428 nt
Filed under: uncultured bacterium
Lineage: Bacteria
Description: partial 16S ribosomal RNA
Rfam family: Bacterial small subunit ribosomal RNA
Source: RNAcentral
GUAGGGAAUAUUGCGCAAUGGGGGAAACCCUGACGCAGCGACGCCGCGUGAGUGAUGAAGGCCUUCGGGUCGUAAAGCUCUGUUGCAGGGGAAUAAAAAAAUGAAGGUACCCUGUGAGGAAGGAUCGGCUAACUUCGUGCCAGCAGCCGCGGUAAGACGAGGGAUCCUAGCGUUGCUCGGAAUCAUUGGGCGUAAAGAGGGCGUAGGUGGCUUGGUAAGUCAGGUGUGAAAGCCCAGGGCUCAACCCUGGAAGUGCAUUUGAUACUGCUGAGCGUGAGUGUCGGAGAGGUUACCGGAAUACCUGGUGUAGUGGUGAAAUACGUAGAUAUCAGGUGGAACACCGGAGGCGAAGGCGGGUAACUGGACGAACACUGACACUGAGGCCCGAAAGCGUGGGGAUCAAACAGGAUUAGAUACCCUGGUAGUCC